RNAcentral lists this ribosomal RNA (433 nucleotides) under uncultured bacterium. RNAcentral's name for it is "partial 16S ribosomal RNA". It matches the Rfam family "Bacterial small subunit ribosomal RNA", at positions 29 to 507 of the family's 1533-position model. The record is from RNAcentral.
AACGAACGCUGGCGGCAUGCCUAACACAUGCAAGUCGAACGAGACCUUCGGGUCUAGUGGCGCACGGGUGCGUAACGCGUGGGAACCUGCCCUUAGGUUCGGAAUAACUCCCCGUAAGGGGUGCUAAUACCGGAUAAUGUCCUCGGACCAAAGAUUUAUCGCCGUUGGAUGGGCCCGCGUUGGAUUAGCCAGUUGGUAGGGUAAAAGCCUACCAAGGCGACGUUACAUAGCUUGUCUGAGAGGAUGAUCAGCCACUCUGAGACUGAGACACGGCCCAGACUCCUGCGGGAGGCAGCAAUGGCUGAUAUUGGACAAUGGGCGAAAGCCUGAUCCAGCAAUGCCGCGUGAGUGAUGAAGGCCUUAGGGUUGUAAAGCUCUUUAACCCGGGAUGAUAAUGACGGUACCGGAAGAAUAAGCUCCGGCUAACUCCGUG